Long non-coding RNA from Haemorhous mexicanus (house finch), 590 nucleotides. RefSeq lists it as uncharacterized. The record is from RefSeq and is a predicted model, not a curated record. The transcript is spliced from 6 exons. Lineage: Eukaryota; Metazoa; Chordata; Aves; Passeriformes; Fringillidae.
CAACAGUGCUGUGAUGGCAGCUGCAGGCUCCUGUCUGAACUGGGGCUCUUGAGGUGCCUGGGGCUGGGCUGAGUUUCUGUGUGAUGGUGAGAGGUUCUGGGGACACACAGCUCUACAAGCUCUGGAAAUGCAGUUGUCAACCCUUCAGCGUCACAAUUUGCAGCAACAGGAUGAGCAAAUCAAAGGAAAGCCACAUUUUAAAUUCUCCGAAUCUUAGUCAAGUGGAGUUCUUGUUCUGCAGACAGCUCUGGGGAAGAAUCUGGAAAUAUGAAUAUCAUUUGGAGAGGAAGAUGGGAUACUGCUCUUAAGUGACCACAGAAAGCUCUCUCCUGCCAGAACUAACAGUACAUUCCACUUUCUGAUCCAGCCAGGGCUGAUCCACACUCAGGUGACUCAUCAGGAGAAAAGUAGAUCUUCCUCAUAUUCUAUUCAGUACAAAUAAUAAGCAUUAAUUAUGUGAUCACAAUGGAAGAGAAUGCUGACCAUAACAAGAGGAAGGAGCAUGACUAAAAUUGGUAACUUGCACUGAGAAGCUGAUCCAGGUGUGUGGUUCCUGAAAGGACAGAUGAACCAGAAUAAAACAGACUCAG